AGCUCCCUAGUGCUUACAAUAGGCUGCGUUCUACCACUGACUAAAAGGGAACAGACAAACAUGCCCUGAAUACAACUCAGUCUAGGCCCUGUUUCUGGUCUGUAUUGUAAAUGGGGAGGCAUGG
Ictidomys tridecemlineatus (thirteen-lined ground squirrel) is the source of this 124-nucleotide small nucleolar RNA. The record is from Ensembl. NCBI's taxonomy places the organism in Eukaryota, Metazoa, Chordata, Mammalia, Rodentia, Sciuridae.